Molecule: ribosomal RNA, 385 nt
Filed under: uncultured bacterium
Lineage: Bacteria
Description: bacterial SSU rRNA
Rfam family: Bacterial small subunit ribosomal RNA
Source: RNAcentral
UGGGGAAUAUUGGACAAUGGAGGAGACUCUGAUCCAGCAAUUCUGUGUGCACGAAGACGGUUUUCGGAUUGUAAAGUGCUUUCAGCAGGGAAGAAGAAAGUGACGGUACCUGCAGAAGAAGCGACGGCUAAAUACGUGCCAGCAGCCGCGGUAAUACGUAUGUCGCGAGCGUUAUCCGGAAUUAUUGGGCAUAAAGGGCAUCUAGGCGGAUAUACAAGUCAGGGGUGAAAACUUAGGGCUCAACUCAAAGCUUGCCUUUGAAACUGUAUAUCUAGAGUGCUGGAGAGGUGGACGGAACUACACGAGUAGAGGUGAAAUUCGUAGAUAUGUGUAGGAAUGCCGAUGAUGAAGAUAGUCCACUGGACAGCAACUGACGCUGAAGUGC